Long non-coding RNA from Cyanistes caeruleus (blue tit), 286 nucleotides. RefSeq lists it as uncharacterized. Lineage: Eukaryota; Metazoa; Chordata; Aves; Passeriformes; Paridae. The record is from RefSeq and is a predicted model, not a curated record.
UCUCUGGAGUGCUGCGGUUCAGAAGAACACCUGAAAAUGGAAAGAAUGUGCAUUAUAACUAUGGUCUUUUGAGACAAAUUCAGUGAUUUUUAAGACUUUUUGGAUUCUCUGAAGAUUUCAUUAGACCUGACUGUCCUCUUUCACUCAUCACUGUGGUUGAAGACCAGUUCCUUUGUAAUUGAAUCUGUGGGAGAAGCUGAAGGAGGCAUAAGGAGAGUACCAUGCCUAUCCAGCACAAGUACACGAGGAGAAAAGCCUGGAGAAGAAAGGAUUUAUCAUCUUUGUA